Molecule: ribosomal RNA, 342 nt
Filed under: uncultured Pseudomonas sp.
Lineage: Bacteria; Pseudomonadati; Pseudomonadota; Gammaproteobacteria; Pseudomonadales; Pseudomonadaceae
Description: bacterial SSU rRNA
Rfam family: Bacterial small subunit ribosomal RNA
Source: RNAcentral
AGCGGCAGCGGAAAGUAGGUUGCUACUUUGCCGGCGAGCGGCGGACGGGUGAGUAAUGUCUGGGAAACUGCCUGAUGGAGGGGGAUAACUACUGGAAACGGUAGCUAAUACCGCAUAACGUCGCAAGACCAAAGAGGGGGACCUUCGGGCCUCUUGCCAUCAGAUGUGCCCAGAUGGGAUUAGCUAGUUGGUGGGGUAAUGGCUCACCAAGGCGACGAUCCGUAACUGGUCUGAGAGGAUGAUCAGUCACACUGGAACUGAGACACGGUCCAGACUCCUACGGGAGGCAGCAGUGGGGAAUAUUGGACAAUGGGCGAAAGCCUGAUCCAGCCAUGCCGCGUG